GAUGAACGCUGGCGGCGUGCCUAAUACAUGCAAGUCGAGCGAACAGAUGAGGAGCUUGCUCCUCUGACGUUAGCGGCGGACGGGUGAGUAACACGUGGAUAACCUACCUAUAAGACUGGGAUAACUUCGGGAAACCGGAGCUAAUACCGGAUAAUAUAUUGAACCGCAUGGUUCAAUAGUGAAAGACGGUUUUGCUGUCACUUAUAGAUGGAUCCGCGCCGCAUUAGCUAGUUGGUAAGGUAACGGCUUACCAAGGCGACGAUGCGUAGCCGACCUGAGAGGGUGAUCGGCCACACUGGAACUGAGACACGGUCCAGACUCCUACGGGUGGCAGCAGUAGGGAAUCUUCCGCAAUGGGCGAAAGCUUGACGGAGCAACGCCGCGUGAGUGAUGAAGGUCUUCGGAUCGUAAAACUCUGUUAUUAGGGAAGAACAAAUGUGUAAGUAACUAUGCACGUCUUGACGGUACCUAAUCAGAAAGCCACGGCUAACUACGUG
RNAcentral lists this ribosomal RNA (497 nucleotides) under uncultured bacterium. RNAcentral describes it as "partial 16S ribosomal RNA". It matches the Rfam family "Bacterial small subunit ribosomal RNA", at positions 28 to 507 of the family's 1533-position model. The record is from RNAcentral.